Molecule: long non-coding RNA, 1798 nt
Organism: Dromaius novaehollandiae (emu)
Lineage: Eukaryota; Metazoa; Chordata; Aves; Casuariiformes; Dromaiidae
Exons: 4
Source: RefSeq, a predicted model, not a curated record
UUCCCUCCUGCCCUUGCUGCAGUUGAGCAGCAGGUCUUUUCCUGCAAAGAUCUGCUGACAUUUUGCUCAAGUCAGAUGUUCGUGGUCAUUCCUCAGCCUGUGCUACAGCCUUGGCUCAGCCUUUCCCUGAGUUUCGAUAAAAUCUCCAACUUCUUCCAUCUCAUAUGAGCAUCAGUCAGUAUGCUCUUGUUAAGUCCCUAUUUUAGAAAACAUGUGAGAAGCUUUGUGCUGUGAGGGCUGAGAGCAGCUGCUAGCCCAGGGAAAGCAGGCUCCCUGCCGGCCAGCACGGGCCGAUCUUGGAGUAUCUCCGGCUCCACGCGCGUCUGGGCGCUCUGGAGCGGACGUCGCCAGGCCUGAGCUGGGACAGGCGGCGAGAAGGGAAGGAGCCGCCUGCCGAGCGAGGCCCAGGGGAUCCCGUUCCUGGGAAGGGAGCAGCAGCGCGAAACAGAACCGGGCCGCGACUCUGUGGAUCAAAUCUGUCCGUAGGGGGAGAGACCGGGGACCAAAAACAUAUGACAUGAGCAACUAAGCACACAGAAGUAUCUACGUUAGACACCAAUAAAAAGAAGAAAAAAGGAAGGCGAAGAAUAAAGACAACUUGGUUUUAAUAAUUAUCUUUCUUCUUCUGUGAGCCCAACAGAGACUGUAGAAGCUGUUAAAAUGAAGGAUAAAGGAGAUACUGAGGAAAAUCACAAGGAGCAUGAAAAAUAGCGUUGACCAAGAGAAGGAUGUGAACUGCUAGAAGCGUAUCCUGGAUUCCAGACUGGGACCAGACACUUUUAAUGACUGUUCUUAUAAAAAAGAAGACAAAGCCAGGAAAAUAUCAAGAGUUGUCCCAUGGAAUAUAGAGUGUAUAUAAGUGGCUAAACUACAAUGAAGUAAAAUUAAUUCCUUACAUGUUUUUUAUCCAUUUUGGUUAUUUUCUCCAGUGUUCCAACUGUCCUAAUUUCUGCUUGAAUUUUAUUUCUGCAGUAGUGCAUUAUUAGAGGUUCAUUCGUCCUUCCUCCCCCCAGCCCCAGGAGCUGCAGGAACACUGGAAAUGCUGUGCUGGAAAUGAGGUGAGGGCUCCGUCAGAACAGGCUCUUGGAGAAUUUGCAAAAGGCCGAUGCUUGGUGCAGCCUCAGAUGUGUGCAGGCUUCAAUCUAUACCUGCACAGCAACAGGAACAGAGUGCAUAAAUGCAGGUGUCAUGGAAAUGAUGGGUGCAUUUCAAUUAUCCAAAAUGAAAGAAGGCACUGUAGUUGCUUUUUAGUGGGCCUUUUUAUAAAUCCGUAGCACUUGCUUGUCUCUGGAGUCCUCUGUAGCACUUUGGCAAAGUACCUCUAUAUAGGCUCAAAAAUUCUCUGCCGAAUGGGGCAAAAAUACCUUGUAUUUUGGCUUCAUAUUCUGCAUAUUUGAACAGACUGAAUACGCAGAAAAAAAGAUUGAAGUUGCAGCUAAUUGAGGUUGUUCAACAAAACAUAAUUCCAAAAAAUAUUUCAGGGUGGGGGGAAAAAAACAAGCCGUAAAUUUAUUUACAUAUUUAUACCUAUACCUAUUUGUUAAAAGUUUAACCCACAGGAUUUUAGUCUAGAGUUUGAAGCAUUUGAAACUCUGGGUAAAACACAUGUACAAUUCCAGAUGCACUUACAAAAUUGCACAUCAGAGUUUGAAUAUUAGGAGCGCGCGUGUGCUUUUAUGCUUCGGUUUGCAGAUACAGAGUUUAGGAGCUAAUAGCAGUGACCGCAUGUGAGCUUUCCAAAGAGCACCGAGAGACAUCCUGUGCCUGAAGCUUAACAAAUAAGCUGGAAAUGCAGCUC